UCAGUAGCGGCGAGCGAACAGGGAAGAGCCCAGCACCGAAUCCCGCGUCCGGUUCCGGUCGCUGGGAAAUGUGGUGUUAGGGAGGGUCCGCAAUCCUGAGGUCGCUCGGCGAGUCAAAGUCCUUCUUGAACGGGGCCACUUACCCAGAGAGGGUGCCAGGCCCGUGGGACCGGGGUCGAUCGCGGGAGGAUCUCUCCUCAGAGUCGGGUUGCUUGAGAGUGCAGCCCUAAGUGGGUGGUAAACUCCAUCUAAGGCUAAAUACAACCACGAGACCGAUAGCGAACAAGUACCGUGAGGGAAAGUUGAAAAGAACUUUGAAGAGAGAGUUCAAGAGUACGUGAAACCGUUCAGGGGUAAACCUGAGAAACCCGAAAGGUCGAACGGGGAGAUUCAAUCGCGUCUCGGAUGGUUCGGCGAGGUGUAGGCGAGUGACGGGCGGCCCACGGGCCGUCAUGCGCCGUCUGCGCCCGUCCGACGCCGAACGCGUGCACUUCUUCCCUAGUAGGACGUCGCGACCCGUUGGCGGCCGGCCUAAGGCUCGCGGUGGAGCUCGUGCGUAUUUUGCGCACGGACCCGUGGUGUCCCGGCCGGCCUGCAGACGGUACUACGGAGGCGCGGGGCCGCGACCAGUUCGCGUCCGGCCCGCGGCAAGCGCGGACGGUUAACUCGACUUACGGACCUAGUGCCGGAGUCGGGCCCGUCCGGCUGCUGGCUGUGGUGUCCUCGGACAGACCCCGUACACGCCCGUCGGCGACGAUAUAGCUUUGGGUACUUUCAGGACCCGUCUUGAAACACGGACCAAGGAGUCUAGCAUGUGCGCGAGUCAUUGGGACUUUGCGAAACCUAAAGGCGAAAUGAAAGUGAAGGUCCGCCUUGCGCGGACCUAGGGAGGAUUGGUCGUCCUAGGGCGACCACGCACUCCCGGGGCGUCUCGCUCUCAUUGCGAGAAGAGGCGCACCUAGAGCGUACACGCUGGGACCCGAAAGAUGGUGAACUAUGCCUGGUCAGGACGAAGUCAGGGGAAACCCUGAUGGAGGUCCGUAGCGAUUCUGACGUGCAAAUCGAUCGUCGGAACUGGGUAUAGGGGCGAAAGACUAAUCGAACCAUCUAGUAGCUGGUUCCCUCCGAAGUUUCCCUCAGGAUAGCUGGCGCUCGCCGCGUGCGAGUCUCAUCUGGUAAAGCGAAUGAUUAGAGGCAUUGGGGUCGAAACGGCCUCAACCUAUUCUCAAACUUUAAAUGGGUGAGAUCUCCGGCUUGCUUGAACAGUGAAGCCGCGAGAUUUCGGAUCAGAG
This 1292-nucleotide ribosomal RNA is filed under the name Diphyllostoma fimbriata. RNAcentral describes it as "eukaryotic LSU rRNA". It matches the Rfam family "Eukaryotic large subunit ribosomal RNA", at positions 80 to 1119 of the family's 3401-position model. The record is from RNAcentral. Lineage: Eukaryota; Metazoa; Arthropoda; Insecta; Coleoptera; Diphyllostomatidae.